Aptenodytes forsteri (emperor penguin) is the source of this 397-nucleotide long non-coding RNA. RefSeq lists it as uncharacterized. The record is from RefSeq and is a predicted model, not a curated record. Lineage: Eukaryota; Metazoa; Chordata; Aves; Sphenisciformes; Spheniscidae. The transcript is spliced from 3 exons.
UAAAAAUAUUCUUGGAUAGCUGAGGCAGCCAAAUGGGUUUUCUGGGCAGCAUUUACUGGAAUUCUUUUGCAGCAGUAAGUCUGAGAAAUGCUGUUGUUUUCUUUUUAAGAAAAGAGCACGUUUGGUUUGGUCGCUUGAAACAAAUCCGACAGAUGAGCCGGAAGACAGAUUUACAAGCUGAAACAAAAGAUGAACGUGUUAACAAAAGUAUGUCGAGCCAUUUACUUCACUGUGCCGUCGCAUUUUGCAGCCCUGUCAGUGUCUUCAGCUAUUUCUAAACGACUCCUCAUCUAAUCCCUCAUCUGGGUACAGCUUGACCUAAUUUGCCAUGAUCCUGCCAGCUAUUCCAGUUACGUAAGGAGGGUUUAUGACCUGUCACGGCCUGUCACGGCUGGUG